Molecule: ribosomal RNA, 253 nt
Filed under: uncultured bacterium
Lineage: Bacteria
Description: partial 16S ribosomal RNA
Rfam family: Bacterial small subunit ribosomal RNA
Source: RNAcentral
GACAGAGGGGGCAAGCGUUGCUCGGAAUUACUGGGCGUAAAGGGCGCGUAGGCGGGAUGGCAAGUCGGUCGUGAAAUCCCUCGGCUCAACCGAGGAACGUCGAUCGAUACUGCUGUUCUUGAGGAUUGCAGAGGAGACUGGAAUUCCCGGUGUAGCGGUGAAAUGUGUAGAGAUCGGGAGGAACACCGGUGGCGAAGGCGGCUACCUGGACAAUUGCUGACGCUCAGGCACGAAAGCGUGGGGAGCAAAAGGG